AGGAUGAACGCUGGCGGCGUGCUUAAUACAUGCAAGUCGAGCGGUAAGGCCCCUUCGGGGGUACACGAGCGGCGGACGGCUGAGUAACGCGUGGGAACGUACCCCGAAGUGAGGGAUAAGCACCAGAAAUGGUGUCUAAUACCGCAUGUGCUCUAAGGAGUAAAGCUCCGGCGCUUCGGGAACGGCCUGCGUCCGAUUAGCUUGUUGGUGAGGUAAUGGCUUACCAAGGCGACGAUCGGUAGCUGGUCUGAGAGGAUGACCAGCCAGACUGGGACUGAGAACGGCCCAGACUCCUACGGGAGGCAGCAGUAGGGAAUUUUCCACAAUGGACGAAAGUCUGAUGGAGCAACGCCGCGUGCAGGAUGAAGGCCUUAGGGUCGUAAACGUGCUUUUAUGUAUGAAGAUUAUGACGGUAGUACAUGAAUAAGGAUCGGCUAACUCCGUGCCAGCAGCCGCGGUAAU
This 462-nucleotide ribosomal RNA is filed under the name uncultured bacterium. RNAcentral describes it as "SSU rRNA". It matches the Rfam family "Bacterial small subunit ribosomal RNA", at positions 26 to 524 of the family's 1533-position model. The record is from RNAcentral.